CGAAUGCUGACAUAAGUAACGAUAAAGCGGGUGAAAAGCCCGCUCGCCGGAAGACCAAGGGUUCCUGUCCAACGUUAAUCGGGGCAGGGUGAGUCGACCCCUAAGGCGAGGCCGAAAGGCGUAGUCGAUGGGAAACAGGUUAAUAUUCCUGUACUUGGUGUUACUGCGAAGGGGGGACGGAGAAGGCUAUGUUGGCCGGGCGACGGUUGUCCCGGUUUAAGCGUGUAGGCUGGUUUUCCAGGCAAAUCCGGAAAAUCAAGGCUGAGGCGUGAUGACGAGGCACUACGGUGCUGAAGCAACAAAUGCCCUGCUUCCAGGAAAAGCCUCUAAGCAUCAGGUAACAUCAAAUCGUACCCCAAACCGACACAGGUGGUCAGGUAGAGAAUACCAAGGCGCUUGAGAGAACUCGGGUGAAGGAACUAGGCAAAAUGGUGCCGUAACUUCGGGAGAAGGCACGCUGAUAUGU
RNAcentral lists this ribosomal RNA (466 nucleotides) under Escherichia coli. RNAcentral's name for it is "partial 23S ribosomal RNA". It matches the Rfam family "Bacterial large subunit ribosomal RNA", at positions 1291 to 1759 of the family's 2925-position model. The record is from RNAcentral. Lineage: Bacteria; Pseudomonadati; Pseudomonadota; Gammaproteobacteria; Enterobacterales; Enterobacteriaceae.